GAGAAUGUUGGCAUGAGUAGCGAGAUGUGGGUGAGAAUCCCACAGGCCGUAAACCCAAGGUUUCCAGGGGAAGGUUCGUCCGCCCUGGGUUAGUCGGGACCUAAGCUGAGGCCGAAAGGCGUAGGUGAUGGACAACAGGUUGAUAUUCCUGUACUACCGAUAACCGUUUGAGAGAUGGGAUGACACAGUAGGAUAAGCUAAGCACACUGUUGGUUAUGUGUGCCCAAGCAUUGAGGCAGUCAAAGUAGGUAAAUCCGCUUUGAUAAUGCUGGGAUGUGAUGGGGAGCGAAAUUUAGUAGCGAAGUAGCUGAUUUCAC
This 317-nucleotide ribosomal RNA is filed under the name Clostridioides difficile. RNAcentral describes it as "partial 23S ribosomal RNA". It matches the Rfam family "Bacterial large subunit ribosomal RNA", at positions 1290 to 1603 of the family's 2925-position model. Lineage: Bacteria; Bacillati; Bacillota; Clostridia; Peptostreptococcales; Peptostreptococcaceae. The record is from RNAcentral.